GACGAACGCUGGCGGCGUGCUUAACACAUGCAAGUCGAACGGUAAGGCCCUUUCGGGGGUACACGAGUGGCGAACGGGUUAGUAACACGUUGGUGAUCUGCCCUGCACUUUGGUAUAAGCCUGUGAAACUGGGUCUAAUACCGGAUAGGACUACGCGAUGCAUUUCGUGUGGUGGAAAGCUUUUGCGGUGUGGGAUGGGCCCGCGGCCUAUCAGCUUGGUGGUGGGGUGAUGGCCUACCAAGGCGACGACGGGUAGCCGGCCUGAGAGGGUGUCCGGCCACACUGGGACUGAGAUACGGCCCAGACUCCUACGGGAGGCAGCAGUGGGGAAUAUUGCACAAUGGGCGCAAGCCUGAUGCAGCGACGCCGCGUGGGGGAUGACGGCCUUCGGGUUGUAAACCCCUUUCAGCACAGACGAAGCGUAAGUGACGGUAUGUGCAGAAGAAGCACCGGCCAACUACGUG
RNAcentral lists this ribosomal RNA (464 nucleotides) under uncultured bacterium. Its description in RNAcentral is "partial 16S ribosomal RNA". It matches the Rfam family "Bacterial small subunit ribosomal RNA", at positions 28 to 507 of the family's 1533-position model. The record is from RNAcentral.